This 252-nucleotide ribosomal RNA is filed under the name uncultured microorganism. Its description in RNAcentral is "partial 16S ribosomal RNA". It matches the Rfam family "Bacterial small subunit ribosomal RNA", at positions 524 to 776 of the family's 1533-position model. The record is from RNAcentral.
AACGUAGGGUGCGAGCGUUAAUCGGAUUUACUGGGCGUAAAGCGUGCGCAGGCGGCCCGUUAAGACAGGUGUGAAUCCCUGGGCUCAACCUAGGAAUUGCGCUUGUGACUGGCGGGCUCGAGUACGGUAGAGGGGGGUGGAAUUCCUGGUGUAGCAGUGAAAUGCGUAGAGAUCAGGAGGAACACCGAUGGCGAAGGCAGCCCCCUGGGCCUGUACUGACGCUCAUGCACGAAAGCGUGGGGAGCAAACAGG